UACAUUUAAGUGUGAUGCAUAUAAAUUUUUGAAAUUUAAGGGUUAAAUGACUAUUUAAAAGUGUAA
Molecule: transfer RNA, 66 nt
Filed under: Cacopsylla picta
Lineage: Eukaryota; Metazoa; Arthropoda; Insecta; Hemiptera; Psyllidae
Description: tRNA-Gln
Source: RNAcentral